This 445-nucleotide ribosomal RNA is filed under the name uncultured bacterium. RNAcentral describes it as "partial 16S ribosomal RNA". It matches the Rfam family "Bacterial small subunit ribosomal RNA", at positions 354 to 796 of the family's 1533-position model. The record is from RNAcentral.
GUAGGGAAUAUUGGACAAUGGGGGGAACCCUGAUCCAGCCAUGCCGCGUGAUAGAUGAAGGCCCUCUGGGUUGUAAAUAUCUUUUAUCUGGGAAGAAACUCCUCUAUUCUUAGAGGCCUGACGGUACCAGAGGAAUAAGCACCGGCUAACUCCGUGCCAGCAGCCGCGGUAAUACGGAGGGUGCAAGCGUUAUCCGGAUUCACUGGGUUUAAAGGGUGCGUAGGCGGGUUGAUAAGUCAGUGGUGAAAGCUCCGGGAUUAACUUGGAAACUGCCAUUGAUACUGUCAGUCUUGAAUGUCGUAGAGGUAAGCGGAAUGUUGCAUGUAGCGGUGAAAUGCUUAGAUAUGUUACAGAACACCAAUUGCGAAGGCAGCUUACUAUGCGAUAAUUGACGCUGAGGCACGAAAGCGUGGGGAGCAAACAGGAUUAGAUACCCUUGUAGUCC